CCCCUCUCAGGGUCAUACCUGGAGAGUUUCCAGUAUCCUUCCAGUCUCAACUAUGGGAGGGAGAGUCAAGCAGAGGCCUUCCCAUUCCAUUCCUAGUUUGGACAGUGGCUAGUGAGUGGAAGGCAAUGUGCUACAAGU
This is a non-coding RNA of Ornithorhynchus anatinus (platypus), 138 nucleotides long. The record is from Rfam. Lineage: Eukaryota; Metazoa; Chordata; Mammalia; Monotremata; Ornithorhynchidae.